UUAUUGUUAUUUUUAAAUAAUUUGGUAUUGCAUAUCAUUAAUAAAAAAUUUUGUAUUAACAAAAAAUAAAAAUAAAAGGUUGAAUUUGUGGUUGUUUUAUUGUUACAUAAUAAAAAAAACAUAAUUUAGGGUUGAAAAGUCGACUUUUAUUAUAUUUGUGUUUAGUAAAUUUAUUAGAAAAUUAUAAAUUUGUAAAAUUGUUUUAUAAAUAUAUAAGUUAAAGUAUUAUAAAUUUUAAGUUUUAUAACUUUUUAUUAAAAAUAAGUAAAUUAAUAUGUUUUAAUAAUUUUAUUAAUAUUAUAAUAAAUUAAAUAUUAUUAUAUUAGUAUAUAAAAUUAAUAAUUUUUUUUUAUAUAAUAUAAACAGAAAAUUAAAAAUUUAAUCAAAUGUUUUUUAAAGACUUAGACUUUUAUUUAAAGUUUGCUUCUGCCCUGUGAUAGAUUUAACGGCAGUCUUAGCGUGAGGACAUUAAAGUAGCAAAAUAAUUAGUGCUUUUAUUGGGUUCCAGUAUGAAUGAAGUUAAUGGUUAAUUAUUUUUUGUUUUUAUUUAUGAAUUUUUUUAUGUAUAAAAAAAUAUAAUAAUAAUUGUACAAAGAUAAGUCUUUGGAAAUUUUUUUUUGUUAUACAUUAAAUUGGGCAACAAAGUUUUCUAGGGCAGAAUUUUAGAUAAAUUUUUAUUCUAUAAUAUAAUUUUAGAAAUUACUCCAGAGUUAACAGAAAAUCAUAUUAAAUCUAGUGCGUAUAGUAAAAUAAGUUUUACAUCGAUGUUGUAUUUAAGUUUAUUAAAAAAGGAGAAAAUUUAAUUAUUAAGACUGUUCUUCUUUUAUUUAACUUAACAUGAUAUUAGUUUAAUUCAUUGCGAGAUAGAAUUGUUUAUCUUGACAAUUAUUAUAAUUUUAAAAUAAUUAGUACGAAAGGAAAAUUGUAAAAGUUAAUAACUUUAUAAAAUUUGUAUUUUU
Molecule: ribosomal RNA, 959 nt
Filed under: Marshallagia marshalli
Lineage: Eukaryota; Metazoa; Nematoda; Chromadorea; Rhabditida; Trichostrongylidae
Description: 16S ribosomal RNA
Source: RNAcentral